Molecule: ribosomal RNA, 411 nt
Filed under: uncultured bacterium
Lineage: Bacteria
Description: bacterial SSU rRNA
Rfam family: Bacterial small subunit ribosomal RNA
Source: RNAcentral
AGUGAACGCUGGCGGCAGGCCUAAUGCAUGCAAGUCGAACGGCAGCACAGCAGAGCUUGCUCUGUGGGUGGCGAGUGGCGGACGGGUGAGGAAUACAUGGGAAUCUGCCCAGUCGUGGGGGAUAACGUAGGGAAACUUACGCUAAUACCGCAUGCGCCCUUCGGGGAAAGCCGGGACCUUCGGGCCUGGCGCGAUUGGAUGAGCCCAUGUCGGAUUAGCUAGUUGGCGGGGUAAUGGCCCACCAAGGCGACGAUCCGUAGCUGGUCUGAGAGGAUGAUCAGCCACACUGGAACUGAGACACGGUCCAGACUCCUACGGGAGGCAGCAGUAGGGAAUAUUGGACAAUGGCGCAAGCCUGAUCCAGCCAUGCCGCCGUGAGUGAAGAAGGCCCUCGGGUUGUAAAGCUCUUUG